GAUCCCGUCUUUUCUUCUCUCUCCGUCACUCUCACCUCUUCUCCGCCGACAUCGCAACGGUUCGCCGGAGCAUUACGGCGGCGCCACUAACGUCUCAAAACUCACUCCGUUUACUCGCCUGCUUUACUUCCACCGCUUUUAAUUAACAGUGAAGUCGCCGUCUUUUGUAUUCAGUUUACCGUUGUUUUCGGAUUAAUCAACACAAGGUACUGAUCAGUUCGUAAUUUUGGUCUCCGCUUUUAUCAUUUACUAUUUAAUUUUUUUUUAAUUUUACCAUUUCUAGAAUCCUCUUAUUUCCUCUUCAUGUUUUAGAUACUUUCGGAGAUAUUUAUAGUGUUUUGUUUCCUAUUUUUUUGAUUUCAACCUUUUUUUUUCUUUAUUGAGUUUUCCAGAAGUUUGGGAUUUUAGUGUUGCUAUUAACAAAAUGAGUAAUAAAGCAGAUGAAAAAGAAGGAAAAUUUUUAGUUUAUAUUUUGGUUUUCUCUGUCAUUUUUGGUGAAAUUCCUUUGUUCUAUUAACAAAAUUAGUAAGGGCAUUUUGUGUUGCAUUUUCAAGUCAUUUUGUUAAGAGUUCAAGUUCUGUCGGUAUAAACAGUAUUUACAUACGUAUUUACAAAGCCAGGUUUAAUUGAGGUAACUCUAUAUAAUAAUCUAUAAUCUAGAAUAAAUGGUUAGUAGCCUGUUAUAAUAGAUUAAAUUACAUUGAUGCUGUGAAAAAUUCAUUACACUGUCAGUGCGUAUAACUUAAGUCCUUUUGUUAAUAGCAGAGCUUGGUUAACCAGUGCUGUUUUGUCUCAGGAAUUC
This 802-nucleotide long non-coding RNA is filed under the name Nicotiana tabacum (common tobacco). RNAcentral describes it as "long non-coding RNA (NTAB_LNC013880)". Lineage: Eukaryota; Viridiplantae; Streptophyta; Magnoliopsida; Solanales; Solanaceae. The record is from RNAcentral.